CUUCUGCACGACUUCUCUGAACAAUGUCCUCAUACUUGGCCUUGACCUCGGCAAUGAUGCUGUCCAAGUCCAGGCUACGGUUGUUGUCCAUGGAGAGGACCACAGUUGUGUCUGAG
RNAcentral lists this microRNA precursor (116 nucleotides) under Mus musculus (house mouse). Its description in RNAcentral is "predicted gene, 55153 (ENSMUSG00002075440.1)". Lineage: Eukaryota; Metazoa; Chordata; Mammalia; Rodentia; Muridae. The record is from RNAcentral.